UACGGGGGGGCAAGCGUUGUUCGGAAUUACUGGGCGUAAAGGGCUCGUAGGCGGCCAACUAAGUCGGAUGUGAAAUCCCCAAGCUUAACUUGGGAACUGCAUCCGAUACUGGAUGGCUUGAAUCCGGGAGAGGGAUGCAGAAUUCCAGGUGUAGCGGUGAAAUGCGUAGAUAUCUGGAGGAAUACCGGUGGCGAAGGCGGCAUCCUGGACCGGCAUUGACGCUGAGGAGCGAAAGCUAGGGGAGCAAACGGG
This 252-nucleotide ribosomal RNA is filed under the name uncultured bacterium. Its description in RNAcentral is "partial 16S ribosomal RNA". It matches the Rfam family "Bacterial small subunit ribosomal RNA", at positions 524 to 776 of the family's 1533-position model. The record is from RNAcentral.